CUAUAUAUGAAAGAAUGGAAUAAAUUAUGAAAAUGCUCUGCUUUGCAUUUUGACCUAGAUGUAAAGCUCACUCACCCGGACAUGCACUUUUUCCCUAGUGAUUCUCAAUUUGCAAAUCCAAACAGGUGAAAACUGAGAUCAAGCUAGAGAAGAGAAGGAAGGUCUUGACCAGAGAAUGGAAGAACUGUUGCAGCACAGAAAUUGCUGAUCAGAAUGUGUUGAAGGGUCUUGAGAAGAGGAUAGAAGAGCUCUAUGUUAGGUAACACAGGGUAAAUAAAGCUUGGUUAAAAUUUCUGCUUUCAAGACGUCCGUUUGAAUGGGAUUAUCAUACUAUUGACUAUUGAGCAUGACCUAUUGCUAUCUU
Molecule: long non-coding RNA, 364 nt
Organism: Arachis stenosperma
Lineage: Eukaryota; Viridiplantae; Streptophyta; Magnoliopsida; Fabales; Fabaceae
Exons: 3
Source: RefSeq, a predicted model, not a curated record